AAAAAGAAACAUAAGAGAAACAAAAAAGUAUAGAGUCUCAUAAAAGCUGCCUUUAACUAUCCCUAGGAGACAGGGUGAAGGGACCCUUGCUAAGCCCAACCCAGGCAGAGGAGCCUGUGGAAGAUCAUCCCGUGUCUCAUCCCUCCUAAACCAUCCCCUUCCCCUUUAAGACCCAGGCUCAUCUGCAGGGCACGAGUGCGAUAUGGAAGCAAGCAGUGAACCCACAAUCUACAGCCCCAACUCAUAGAGCAGCCCCGAAGAGGUGCUGGGAGGAGUUCAGGCCUGUGUGGCCUUUGUCAUCCUGAGUAAUCCCCUCGUCAGCAGGAGAGGGGACCUACCUGUCCUUAACAGCCUUCCUGUGGAACCACUGCUUCCCCAACCAGGAAGAAAGGGAGAGGGAGUUGGGGCCACCUGAGCCUUUUCCUUCUAGCCUACAUAGACAGAGGCCUUGCCUUUAGCUGAGCUGGGACACUGCCCGUGUCCCCUCCCCUUGAGCCAGCCCCAUGUCCCCUUGCUCCAGGCCACCUUCUGUGUCUUAGUUGAAGUUUGUCCACCUGUAGUUUCAAGAUUCACAUAGAAGGCUGUGACCAUAGGUGGGAAGGUUCACAACUGUAUAUACUGCCAUUGAGGAGGGGAUCAUUUUCACUACAUAGAAGCUUCAGAAUUAGAGGUCCCUCUUUACCCAGGACCUGGGAGCGAAGUAGAUGUUUUGCCAAAAUACUUCUUCAUUCCUUUAAGAAGUACAUCUUUCCUAUGCAAGAGUGUCUCCUAUGUGCUUACCCAAGGUGGUUCUAGAUGGUGAGCAGCGUUUGGCUUAGAAGUGAUAUGUGCUCUGUCUGUCCGUCUUGUCCGUCUGUUGUAUACAGUGGGUGCCAUAUAAAACUGAUCCGUGGUGGUGCUUCCUGCCUGCUUCUGUGAGAUGGGCCAAGAUUCAGCCUAGAACACCAUGAUGCACCUUGCUGUGGUCAGCCUUUCUCAGGCCUGCAGGGCCUUGCACAUGUUUUACCUGGGGGGGAUCAUUUCCCUCUUCCCAACAGACAUGGAUCCACCUAGUCCUGGCCCCAGAUGUGUUGGGAUCUCUCCAGAUGUUGCCGAGGCUGGAGACCUCUGAUCUGCCAUUGCUCAGAUAGCCAAGGAUGUGGGGCUGGGGUUGGAGGGUUCUUCCUUCAUAAUACUUUCUAAGAAAACUUGUUCCCACCUGUUCCUGUCUUUGGCUCAUUUUUGGAGGUCAUGGGAAUGAAGAAUAGAUAAGACAGUAACACUAGCAGGUAAGGUGCAUCAUGUGUCCGCAAGCAAUUUCCAAUCAACAGGGGAGCCAGUGUACACCAAGCCAGUCACGACACACAGACACAGACGUGCAUAACACCUGGCCAUGAAAACAGACACACACCUGGAGGGACAGAGUCUGCAGUGCCAGAUGCCAAGCACUGUGUUAGGUGGUAGGACACAGGCCCCCUGAGGACUGGAAUUAUGGAGAAAGAGAGACGAUCAACACAGUUACGGUGGAGUGUGGCAAAGGUCUGUGCUAGCAAGGAGAGCACCUGGCUAUGGCUUUACUCAUGGGGAGAUCCAAGAAAGACACCAGGAAGGAGGCUGAGGGGGUGGAGUCAGCAAGGACGAACUUGGACAUUCGGUCAAAGCCUCUGGGCAACUGCAUCAUUUUGAAAACAUCAUUGUUACCAAGAAAUAAUAAUGAUUACCAUUUAUUUUAAUGUCUGUCAUGGAGCAGAUAAUGGGCAUAGGACAAGACCCCUUUCCCAUUCUCAACUCUAACCUGAACCUUCACUCAUUACUGAGUCACAUCAAGACACUCGAAGCAAAAUGGCAUUUAAAGUAUUUUGUCUCCUACUUUGGGGCAAGCUAGAGACUGGCAGAGUGGACAACUCCCAACCUGCAGGGGCUGGUGUGAUCUACAUCAAGGGUUGGCAAAAUAUGGCCUGUGGCUUAUUUUUAUAUGACCUAUAAAGAAUGGUUUUAACAUUUUUUUUUUUGCUUUUUGAGGCAGGGUCUCCCUUUGUAGUUUAGGGUGUCCCUGAACUCACUAUGUAGCUCUGGCUGGCCUCGAACUCACAGCGAUCCUUCUGCCUCAGCCUCCUGAGUGCUGGGAUUACAGACUUGUGCCACCAUGCCCAGCUCUGGUUUUUAACACUUUUUAAGGGUUGUCAAAACAAAACAAAAAGAAAAUGAGGUAGAGGUCCUGUGUGCUCACAGAACCUAAAAUGUUUAUCUUGUUCUCUAGACAAAAAGUGUGC
Long non-coding RNA from Heterocephalus glaber (naked mole-rat), 2252 nucleotides. The record is from Ensembl. Lineage: Eukaryota; Metazoa; Chordata; Mammalia; Rodentia; Bathyergidae.